GUCUACGGCCAUACCACCCUGAACGCGCCCGAUCCCGUCUGAUCUCGGAAGCUAAGCAGGGUCGGGCCUGGUUAGUACUUAGAUGGGAGACCGCCUGGGAAUACCGGGUGCUGCAGGCU
Molecule: ribosomal RNA, 119 nt
Filed under: Physeter macrocephalus (sperm whale)
Lineage: Eukaryota; Metazoa; Chordata; Mammalia; Artiodactyla; Physeteridae
Source: RNAcentral